Molecule: non-coding RNA, 452 nt
Organism: Pelobates cultripes (western spadefoot toad)
Lineage: Eukaryota; Metazoa; Chordata; Amphibia; Anura; Pelobatidae
Source: the annotation of a GenBank genome assembly
CUUGCCUUGAUGGUGUAGGUGAGCUUGCACGCUAAUGGCCAUAUGAAAGAUGCUGUUAUUUAAAUGUGUAUAAAAUAAAGACUUGGGAUUGAGUACAGGCAGAUUUAUUUUUUGUUUUUAGUAAUUGUUUGCUGACAGAUUCUGGCUCCCUAAUACAAGCACAUUAUUAAUGUACUAUAAAACCCAAAGAAAAACUUUACUUGCGCACUAUCCUAAAUCCAUAUUUUUCAAAACCCCUACAUACUUAUUAACCCUUAAUAGGGAACACAUGGGAUGGGCAGCAACAUUGUAACAUGACUGUGUGAAAAGCAAAUACAAAUACACAAAAAUAAGUCCUGCGCUCAGACUCCCACUACUCCUGGGCGGCAGCAAUGACCAUAGUACACAUCAUCCCUAAUACGUACAAUAAAAAGAAAAGAGUUACUAUCCCAAAUCCCUGUGCAUAUUUAAAU